Molecule: ribosomal RNA, 497 nt
Filed under: uncultured bacterium
Lineage: Bacteria
Description: partial 16S ribosomal RNA
Rfam family: Bacterial small subunit ribosomal RNA
Source: RNAcentral
GAUGAACGCUGGCGGCGUGCCUAAUACAUGCAAGUCGAGCGAACGGACGAGAAGCUUGCUUCUCUGAUGUUAGCGGCGGACGGGUGAGUAACACGUGGAUAACCUACCUAUAAGACUGGGAUAACUUCGGGAAACCGGAGCUAAUACCGGAUAAUAUUUUGAACCGCAUGGUUCAAAAGUGAAAGACGGUCUUGCUGUCCCUUAUAGAUGGUUCCGCGCUGCAUUAGCUAGUUGGUAAGGUAACGGCUUACAAAGGCAACGAUGCAUAGCCGACCUGAGAGGGUGAUCGGCCACACUGGAACUGAGACACGGUCCAGACUCCUACGGGAGGCAGCAGUAGGGAAUCUUCCGCAAUGGGCGAAAGCCUGACGGAGCAACGCCGCGUGAGUGAUGAAGGUCUUCGGAUCGUAAAACUCUGUUAUUAGGGAAGAACAUAUGUGUAAGUAACUGUGCACAUCUUGACGGUACCUAAUCAGAAAGCCACGGCUAACUACGUG